GAUGAACGCUGGCGGCGUGCCUAAUACAUGCAAGUCGAGCGAACGGACUAGAAGCUUGCUUCUCUGAUGUUAGCGUCGGACGGGUGAGUAACACGUGGAUAACCUACCUAUAAGACUGGGAUAACUUCGGGAAACCGGAGCUAAUACCGGAUUAUAUUUUGAACCGCAUGGUUCAAAAGUGAAAGACGGUCUUGCUGUCACUUAUAGAUGGAUCCGCGCUGCAUUAGCUAGUUGGUAAGGUAACGGCUUACCAAGGCAACGAUGCAUAGCCGACCUGAGAGGGUGAUCGGAAAAACUGGAACUGAGACACGGUCCAGACUCCUAAGGGAGGCAGCAGUAGGGAAGCUUCCGCAAUGGGCGAAAGCCUGACGGAGCAACGCCGCGUGAGUGAUGAAGGUCUUCGGAUCGUAAAACUCUGUUAUUAGGGAAGAACAUAUGUGUAAGUAACUGUGCACAUCUUGACGGUACCUAAUCAGAAAGCCACGGCUAACUAAGUG
Molecule: ribosomal RNA, 497 nt
Filed under: uncultured bacterium
Lineage: Bacteria
Description: partial 16S ribosomal RNA
Rfam family: Bacterial small subunit ribosomal RNA
Source: RNAcentral